RNAcentral lists this ribosomal RNA (395 nucleotides) under uncultured bacterium. RNAcentral describes it as "bacterial SSU rRNA". It matches the Rfam family "Bacterial small subunit ribosomal RNA", at positions 505 to 898 of the family's 1533-position model. The record is from RNAcentral.
GUGUCAGCAGCCGCGGUAAUACGGAGGUGGCAAGCGUUGUUCGGAAUUACUGGGCGUAAAGGGCGCGUAGGCGGCAAGGCAAGUCAGGUGUGAAAGCCCCGGGCUUAACCCGGGAAUUGCAUCUGAAACUGCUGUGCUUGAGUUCUGGAGGGGGUAGUGGAAUUCCCAGUGUAGCGGUGAAAUGCGUAGAUAUUGGGAGGAACACCUGCGGCGAAGGCGGCUACCUGGACAGAAACUGACGCUGAGGCGCGAAAGCUAGGGGAGCGAACGGGAUUAGAUACCCCGGUAGUCCUAGCCGUAAACGAUGGGCACUUGGUGUUGGGGGUAUUGAGUCCCCCAGUGCCGGAGUUAACACGUUAAGUGCCCCGCCUGGGGAGUACGGUCGCAAGACUGAA